This 844-nucleotide ribosomal RNA is filed under the name Bjerkandera adusta cf. RG-2014. Its description in RNAcentral is "eukaryotic LSU rRNA". The stretch from base 547 to 844 matches the Rfam family "Eukaryotic large subunit ribosomal RNA", at positions 1 to 292 of the family's 3401-position model. The record is from RNAcentral. Lineage: Eukaryota; Fungi; Basidiomycota; Agaricomycetes; Polyporales; Phanerochaetaceae.
UAUCGAGUUUUUGAACGGGUUGUCUGCUGACUCGCGAGAGUAUGUGCACGCCUGGCUCAUCCACACUCACUUCUGUGCACUUUUCAUAGGCCGGCUCAAGGGUGGUGCGCUUUCGCGCACGCCCGAAGGCUUAGGCUUAUGCUUUACAACAAACGAUUCAGUUAUAGAAUGUCUUGCUUGCGAUAACGCAACUAUAUACAACUUUCAGCAACGGAUCUCUUGGCUCUCGCAUCGAUGAAGAACGCAGCGAAAUGCGAUAAGUAAUGUGAAUUGCAGAAUUCAGUGAAUCAUCGAAUCUUUGAACGCACCUUGCGCUCCUUGGUAUUCCGAGGAGCAUGCCUGUUUGAGUCUCAUGGAAUUCUCAACCUUCAACUUUAUUGAUGAAGGCUUGGACUUGGAGGUCGUGUCGGCUCUCGUAGUCGACUCCUCUGAAAUGCAUUAGUGCGAACGUUACCAGCCGCUUCAGCGUGAUAAUUAUCUGCGCUGCUGUGGGGGGUAAGUGAGUGUUCACGCUUCGAACCGUCUUCGGACAACAUUUCUGAACUCUGAGCUCAAAUCAGGUAGGACUACCCGCUGAACUUAAGCAUAUCAAUAAGCGGAGGAAAAGAAACUAACAAGGAUUCCCCUAGUAACUGCGAGUGAAGCGGGAAAAGCUCAAAUUUAAAAUCUGGCGGUCUUCGGCCGUCCGAGUUGUAAUCUGGAGAAGCGUUUUCCGCGCUGGACCGUGUACAAGUCUCUUGGAACAGAGCGUCAUAGAGGGUGAGAAUCCCGUCUUUGACACGGACUACCAGUGCUUUGUGAUGCGCUCUCGAUGAGUCGAGUUGUUUGGGAAUGCAGCUCAAAA